GAUGAACGCUGGCGGCGUGCCUAAUACAUGCAAGUCGAGCGAACGGACGAGAAGCUUGCUUCUCUGAUGUUAGCGGCGGACGGGUGAGUAACACGUGGAUAACCUACCUAUAAGACUGGGAUAACUUCGGGAAACCGUAGCUAAUACCGGAUAAUAUUUUGAACCGCAUGGUUCAAAAGUGAAAGACGGUCUUGCUGUCACUUAUAGAUGGAUCCGCGCUGCAUUAGCUAGUUGGUAAGGUAACGGCUUACCAAGGCAACGAUGCAUAGACGAACUGAGAGGGUGAUAGGCCACACUGGAACUGAGACACGGUCCAGACUCCUACGGGAGGCAGCAGUAGGGAAUCUUACGCAAUGGGCGAAAGCAUGACGGAGCAACGCCGCGUGAGUGAUGAAGGUCUUCGGAUCGUAAAGCUCUGUUAUUAGGGAAGAACAUAUGUGUAAGUAACUGUGCACAUCUUGACGGUACCUAAUCAGAAAGCAACGGCUAACUACGUG
This 497-nucleotide ribosomal RNA is filed under the name uncultured bacterium. RNAcentral describes it as "partial 16S ribosomal RNA". It matches the Rfam family "Bacterial small subunit ribosomal RNA", at positions 28 to 507 of the family's 1533-position model. The record is from RNAcentral.